UACGAAGGGAGCUAGCGUUGUUCGGAAUUACUGGGCGUAAAGCGCACGUAGGCGGGCUCUUAAGUCAGGGGUGAAAUCCCGAGGCUCAACCUCGGAACUGCCUUUGAUACUGAGAGCCUCGAGUCCGGAAGAGGUGAGUGGAAUUCCUAGUGUAGAGGUGAAAUUCGUAGAUAUUAGGAAGAACACCAGUGGCGAAGGCGGCUCACUGGUCCGGUACUGACGCUGAGGUGCGAAAGCGUGGGGAGCAAACAGG
Molecule: ribosomal RNA, 253 nt
Filed under: uncultured bacterium
Lineage: Bacteria
Description: partial 16S ribosomal RNA
Rfam family: Bacterial small subunit ribosomal RNA
Source: RNAcentral